CCCUGUAGCUCAGUUGGUAGAGCAUGGUGUUUGCAACGCCAGGGUUGUGGGUUCGAUUCCCACGAGGG
This 68-nucleotide transfer RNA is filed under the name Salmo salar (Atlantic salmon). It matches the Rfam family "tRNA". Rfam says of the family: Transfer RNA (tRNA) molecules are approximately 80 nucleotides in length. Their secondary structure includes four short double-helical elements and three loops (D, anti-codon, and T loops). Further hydrogen bonds mediate the characteristic L-shaped molecular structure. tRNAs have two regions of fundamental functional importance: the anti-codon, which is responsible for specific mRNA codon recognition, and the 3' end, to which the tRNAs corresponding amino acid is attached (by aminoacyl-tRNA synthetases). tRNAs cope with the degeneracy of the genetic code in two manners: having more than one tRNA (with a specific anti-codon) for a particular amino acid; and 'wobble' base-pairing, i.e. permitting non-standard base-pairing at the 3rd anti-codon position. RNAcentral also lists the same sequence under 1 other name. The record is from Rfam by way of RNAcentral. Lineage: Eukaryota; Metazoa; Chordata; Actinopteri; Salmoniformes; Salmonidae.